CCUACGGGUGGCUGCAGUGGGGAAUAUUGGACAAUGGGCGCAAGCCUGAUCCAGCCAUGCCGCGUGAGUGAUGAAGGCCUUAGGGUUGUAAAGCUCUUUUGCCGGGGACGAUAAUGACGGUACCCGGAGAAUAAGUCCCGGCUAACUUCGUGCCAGCAGCCGCGGUAAUACGAAGGGGACUAGCGUUGUUCGGAAUCACUGGGCGUAAAGCGCACGUAGGCGGAUAUGUCAGUCAGGGGUGAAAUCCCGGGGCUCAACCUCGGAACUGCCUUUGAUACAGCAUGUCUUGAGUCCGAUAGAGGUGGGUGGAAUUCCUAGUGUAGAGGUGAAAUUCGUAGAUAUUAGGAAGAACACCGGUGGCGAAGGCGGCCCACUGGAUCGGUACUGACGCUGAGGUGCGAAAGCGUGGGGAGCAAACAGGAUUAGAUACCCCAGUAGUC
This 440-nucleotide ribosomal RNA is filed under the name uncultured bacterium. Its description in RNAcentral is "partial 16S ribosomal RNA". It matches the Rfam family "Bacterial small subunit ribosomal RNA", at positions 338 to 795 of the family's 1533-position model. The record is from RNAcentral.